RNAcentral lists this ribosomal RNA (468 nucleotides) under uncultured bacterium. RNAcentral's name for it is "partial 16S ribosomal RNA". It matches the Rfam family "Bacterial small subunit ribosomal RNA", at positions 28 to 507 of the family's 1533-position model. The record is from RNAcentral.
GACGAACGCUGGCGGCGUGCUUAACACAUGCAAGUCGAACGGAAAGGCCCUGCUUUUGUGGGGUGCUCGAGUGGCGAACGGGUGAGUAACACGUGAGUAACCUGCCCUUGACUUUGGGAUAACUUCAGGAAACUGGGGCUAAUACCGGAUAGGAGCUCCUGCUGCAUGGUGGGGGUUGGAAAGCUUCGGCGGUUGGGGAUGGACUCGCGGCUUAUCAGCUUGUUGGUGGGGUAGUGGCUUACCAAGGCUUUGACGGGUAGCCGGCCUGAGAGGGUGACCGGCCACAUUGGGACUGAGAUACGGCCCAGACUCCUACGGGAGGCAGCAGUGGGGAAUAUUGCACAAUGGGCGGAAGCCUGAUGCAGCAACGCCGCGUGCGGGAUGACGGCCUUCGGGUUGUAAUCCGCUUUCGCCUGUGACGAAGCGUGAGUGACGGUAAUGGGUAAAGAAGCACCGGCUAACUACGUG